UAAUACGGAGGUGGCAAGCGUUGUUCGGAAUUACUGGGCGUAAAGGGCGCGUAGGCGGCAGGGCAAGUCAGGUGUGAAAGCCCCGGGCUCAACUCGGGAACUGCAUCUGAAACUGCUUUGCUUGAGUCCUGGAGGGGGUAGUGGAAUUCCCAGUGUAGCGGUGAAAUGCGUAGAUAUUGGGAGGAACACCGGUGGCGAAGGCGGCUACCUGGACAGUGACUGACGCUGAGGCGCGAAAGCUAGGGGAGCGAACGGGAUUAGAUACCCUGGUAGUCCACGCCGUAAACGAUGAAUGCCAGCCGUUAGUGGGUUUACUCACUAGUGGCGCAGCUAACGCUUUAAGCAUUCCGCCUGGGGAGUACGGUCGCAAGAUUA
Molecule: ribosomal RNA, 375 nt
Filed under: uncultured bacterium
Lineage: Bacteria
Description: bacterial SSU rRNA
Rfam family: Bacterial small subunit ribosomal RNA
Source: RNAcentral